This 464-nucleotide long non-coding RNA is filed under the name Arachis ipaensis. Its description in RNAcentral is "long non-coding RNA (AIPA_LNC001280)". The record is from RNAcentral. Lineage: Eukaryota; Viridiplantae; Streptophyta; Magnoliopsida; Fabales; Fabaceae.
AAAAAAUGAAAUUUGAUACAUAAUUUAUCAAUAUUGCUUUUUUUAUUCAAAAAACCUUCUCCAUUUUAAUUAUAACAGUAACUGUCAGUAUAUGUAAACCCUAGAAUAUAACUAGAAAUUGUUACAGAGAUAAUAUCUAUCGGGUAUCUUAUCCGUAUUCCGCAUAUGAUACGUAUAUACCAGAAUUUGAAAUAAGAUUCUCGUGCUUCCAUAAUUGAAAGAAGUUUUCCUUGAAAAAAUAAAUUCAAUAGAAAUUGAAAAAUUGACUACGACAUGCUCUGUACCGAAUAAAUAGGACUGCUAUAAAAGGAAGAGACAUGUAUCUAAUCUGGAUACUAGAUAUAUGGCUAGCUAUAGCAACGGAAGUUAGAUUUGUGCAGGUUUAAUAAAUAUACUAGCUUUAUUACGUAUUCCAAUUGUAUUCUCAAAUAAGAAGGGGUGGUGUGUAAACUCUCCCACCUUUG